This 218-nucleotide ribosomal RNA is filed under the name uncultured cyanobacterium. RNAcentral describes it as "partial 16S ribosomal RNA". It matches the Rfam family "Bacterial small subunit ribosomal RNA", at positions 1045 to 1264 of the family's 1533-position model. Lineage: Bacteria; Bacillati; Cyanobacteriota. The record is from RNAcentral.
AUGGCUGUCGUCAGCCCGUGUCGUGAGAUGUUGGGUUAAGUCCCGCAACGAGCGCAACCCUCGUCGUUAGUUGCCAGCAUUAAGUUGGGCACUCUAGCGAGACUGCCGGUGACAAACCGGAGGAAGGUGGGGAUGACGUCAAGUCAGCAUGCCCCUUACGUCCUGGGCUACACACGUACUACAAUGCUGUGGACAAAGAGUUGCCAACCCGCGAGGGC